RNAcentral lists this ribosomal RNA (251 nucleotides) under uncultured bacterium. Its description in RNAcentral is "partial 16S ribosomal RNA". It matches the Rfam family "Bacterial small subunit ribosomal RNA", at positions 526 to 776 of the family's 1533-position model. The record is from RNAcentral.
CGUAGGGCGCAAGCGUUGUCCGGAAUUAUUGGGCGUAAAGAGCUCGUAGGCGGUUUGUCGCGUCUGCUGUGAAAACCUAAGGCUCAACCUUGGGCUUGCAGUGGGUACGGGCAGACUAGAGUGCGGUAGGGGUGACUGGAAUUCCUGGUGUAGCGGUGGAAUGCGCAGAUAUCAGGAGGAACACCGAUGGCGAAGGCAGGUCACUGGGCCGCAACUGACGCUGAGGAGCGAAAGCAUGGGGAGCAAACAGG